CGAACGCUGGCGGCGUGCUUAACACAUGCAAGUCGAACGGAAAGGCCCUGCUUUUGUGGGGUGCUCGAGUGGCGAACGGGUGAGUAACACGUGAGUAACCUGCCCUUGACUUUGGGAUAACUUCAGGAAACUGGGGCUAAUACCGGAUAGGAGCUCCUGCUGCAUGGUGGGGGUUGGAAAGUUUCGGCGGUUGGGGAUGGACUCGCGGCUUAUCAGCUUGUUGGUGGGGUAGUGGCUUACCAAGGCUUUGACGGGUAGCCGGCCUGAGAGGGUGACCGGCCACAUUGGGACUGAGAUACGGCCCAGACUCCUACGGGAGGCAGCAGUGGGGAAUAUUGCACAAUGGGCGGAAGCCUGAUGCAGCAACGCCGCGUGCGGGAUGACGGCCUUCGGGUUGUAAACCGCUUUCGCCUGUGACGAAG
RNAcentral lists this ribosomal RNA (422 nucleotides) under Cutibacterium acnes. RNAcentral's name for it is "bacterial SSU rRNA". It matches the Rfam family "Bacterial small subunit ribosomal RNA", at positions 30 to 450 of the family's 1533-position model. Lineage: Bacteria; Bacillati; Actinomycetota; Actinomycetes; Propionibacteriales; Propionibacteriaceae. The record is from RNAcentral.